Molecule: RNA transcript, 1944 nt
Organism: Olea europaea var. sylvestris
Lineage: Eukaryota; Viridiplantae; Streptophyta; Magnoliopsida; Lamiales; Oleaceae
Gene name: probable sodium/metabolite cotransporter BASS6, chloroplastic
Exons: 10
Source: RefSeq, a predicted model, not a curated record
UAUUUUGGUUCUCCUUGGAGAAAUGAUAAAAAAAUACAACGUAAAUUAGACUACACUGGUUCAAAAGCUUGAUUUUCAAUCUGUCAUGACGGUACAAUCCAAAAACAAUCAAAAUUAUUCCCAACCUUCUAGAUGCUCUCUCUCCGUCGAGCUGCUUUACAGACAACUACUUCACAGAGAGUUACAUUUGACUUUCUCGCUCUAAUUCCAAAUUCCCGCAAAAUAUGAGUUCCACUUCUCAGUUCCUGCAACUCCAUCACCAUCACCAUUUCCAGAUCCACAAACCCAUAAAACUUUGCAUUAAACCCAACAAGAUUUUCACUACUAUUGUCCCAAAAGAGCGCUCCUAUUUUUCAGGUCUGCGUAUGUUGGGACCUCCCUAUCAUCUGGGUUCCGUGCCUACAUGUGGGAAUUCAAGAUCAUUAAUCAGCAAAUGUUGGGCAGAAAAUUUUCUCGAGAAGGACAGUUCAUCUAAUUAUACAUCCCAACCGGCGAAGGAGGUUUCCUUUGUUGAGAUUUUGAAGGGGGCAAAUUCUAUUCUGCCUCAAGUGGUUCUUGCAAGUACAAUUUUGGCUCUUAUAUAUCCGCCUUCUUUUACAUGGUUCACGAACAGGUACUACGCCCCAGCGUUGGGCUUUUUGAUGUUUGCGGUUGGAGUUAAUUCUAGUGAAAAAGAUUUUCUUGAAGCAUUCAAUAGGCCAGCUGCUAUUUUUGCUGGCUAUGUAGGACAGUUUAUUGUGAAACCCCUCCUUGGGUAUCUUUUUGGCAUGAUUUCAAUGUCUAUAUUCGGUCUUCCAACUUCCUUAGCUGCAGGGAUCAUGUUGACUUCAUGUGUUAGUGGGGCCCAGCUCUCCAAUUAUGCUACAUUUUUAACAGAUCCACUAAUGGCCCCACUUAGCAUUGUCAUGACAUCACUGUCUACGGCAACUGCAGUCUUGGUUACCCCAUUCUUGUCAUUAUUGCUAAUUGGCAAAAGGUUGCCUGUUGAUGUGAAAGGAAUGGUCUCAAAUAUUGUACAGAUUGUGGUCACUCCCAUUGCAGCUGGGUUACUUUUGAAUAGGUUCUUUCCUCGAAUAUGCAAUGCCAUCCGGCCACUUCUGCCUCCACUUUCGGUGUUUGUGACCGCUCUUUGUGUUGGUGCUCCACUUGCUAUUAACAUAAAAUCAGUCAUGUCCCCUUCGGGGAUAUCUGUUUUGCUUCUUGUGAUUGCAUUCCAUUUAUCAGCAUUUAUUUCUGGAUAUUCCCUUGCUGGUGUUGUCUUCCAUGAUGCACCAGAUGUAAAAGCUCUACAAAGGACACUAUCCUAUGAAACAGGGAUGCAGAGCAGUCUUUUGGCCCUUGCACUUGCAAAUAAAUUUUUCCAAGAUCCACUUGUUAGUGUGCCACCUGCUAUUUCUACUGUAAUCAUGUCGCUGAUGGGAUUCUCUCUUGUAAUGCUGUGGUCUCAGAGGAAAUGAAUUGUCUCUUGAUGAAUGAGUUUUACCAGCACCACUAUAAAUAAGUUUAUGGGUAUCUGUCAGUCAUGGUGGAACAAGUUUGCUGUGGUAGAGUGGCAAGGAAAUGCCAAAGCAUGAUAUAUUAAGAAAAUUGAUGUUUUGAGAUGUGUAAUGUGACUUCUCAUUUUCGUUCAAUCCUUAUAGAAAUUGAAAUCUCGCCUGAAGGUUUGCUAGGAUAUCGAAUGAUCUGAAGUCUUUAGGCAUCAAAGAAAUCACUUGGCUGAUUCCUCAUAGUAGAAAGAGAAGCGUCGAUAGAGUAUUAUUUGUCCAUUAGAUGUUCAGAAGCAAUAGGGGCAUGUUUUGAUGUACAACCACGAUUGGGAUUUGGGAUUAUUAACUGUAUUUGUGUAAUAAGAUGAUGAACAGAUGCUUGAAGAUGACAAUAAAUAUGAGAAUGCUGAAGCUAAGCAGACUGGAGGGCUAAUGAACAAUGCUCUUGUUAUUUCUU